GACGAACGCUGGCGGCAUGCCUAACACAUGCAAGUCUAGGGGUAGCAAUACCACUGGCGCACGGGUGAGUAACACGUAGGUUAUCUGCCCCCAUCACAGACAUAACCCCGGGAAACCGGGGCUAAUAUCUGAUGAGGUCGCGAGAUCAAAGCUUCGGCGGAUGGGGAUGAGCCUGCGGCUGAUUAGCUAGUUGGUGAGGUAAUGGCUCACCAAGGCGACGAUCAGUAGCUGGUCUGAGAGGACGAACAGCCACACUGGAACUGAGACACGGUCCAGACUCCUACGGGAGGCAGCAGUAGGGAAUAUUGCGCAAUGGAGGAAACUCUGACGCAGCGACGCCGCGUGAGUGAUGAAGGCCUUGGGUCGUAAAGCUCUGUCGCAGGGGAAUAAAAAAUGAGGUACCCUGUAAGAAAGGAUCGGCUAACUUCGUGCCAGC
RNAcentral lists this ribosomal RNA (436 nucleotides) under uncultured bacterium. Its description in RNAcentral is "bacterial SSU rRNA". It matches the Rfam family "Bacterial small subunit ribosomal RNA", at positions 28 to 512 of the family's 1533-position model. The record is from RNAcentral.